RNAcentral lists this ribosomal RNA (244 nucleotides) under uncultured bacterium. RNAcentral's name for it is "partial small subunit ribosomal RNA". It matches the Rfam family "Bacterial small subunit ribosomal RNA", at positions 26 to 285 of the family's 1533-position model. The record is from RNAcentral.
AGAAUCGACGCUGGCGGCGUGCCUAACACAUGCAAGUCGAACGAGAAAGUGGAGCAAUCCAUGAGUAAAGUGGCGCACGGGUGAGUAACACGUGACUAACCUACCCUCGAGUGGGGAAUAACCUCGGGAAACCGGGGCUAACACCGCAUAACAUCUACGGAUCAAAUGCGUAAGCAGCUUGAGGAGGGGUCGCGGCUGAUUAGCUAGUUGGCGGGGUAAUGGCCCACCAAGGCAGUGAUCAGUA